GCUUUAAUAUAUAUUAGCUGUUGUUUGCCAAACAUUUUUGAUCCUGGAAGCUAAGCAAGGUGAAGCCUAGAUUCUACAUGGAUUGGAGACUGCCUGAGAGCACAAAGUGAUGUAGGCU
RNAcentral lists this ribosomal RNA (118 nucleotides) under Salvator merianae (Argentine black and white tegu). The record is from RNAcentral. Lineage: Eukaryota; Metazoa; Chordata; Lepidosauria; Squamata; Teiidae.